RNAcentral lists this ribosomal RNA (576 nucleotides) under uncultured bacterium. RNAcentral's name for it is "bacterial SSU rRNA". It matches the Rfam family "Bacterial small subunit ribosomal RNA", at positions 211 to 804 of the family's 1533-position model. The record is from RNAcentral.
UCCGGUGGUACAGGAUGGGCCCGCGUCUGAUUAGCUAGUUGGUGAGGUAACGGCCCACCAAGGCGACGAUCAGUAGCCGGCUUGAGAGAGUGAACGGCCACAUUGGGACUGAGACACGGCCCAAACUCCUACGGGAGGCAGCAGUGGGGAAUAUUGCACAAUGGGGGAAACCCUGAUGCAGCAACGCCGCGUGAGUGAAGAAGUAUUUCGGUAUGUAAAGCUCUAUCAGCAGGGAAGAAAAUGACGGUACCUGACUAAGAAGCACCGGCUAAAUACGUGCCAGCAGCCGCGGUAAUACGUAUGGUGCAAGCGUUAUCCGGAUUUACUGGGUGUAAAGGGAGCGCAGGCGGUUUGGCAAGUCUGAUGUGAAAAUCCGGGGCUCAACCCCGGAACUGCAUUGGAAACUGUCAGACUAGAGUGUCGGAGAGGUAAGUGGAAUUCCUAGUGUAGCGGUGAAAUGCGUAGAUAUUAGGAGGAACACCAGUGGCGAAGGCGGCUUACUGGACGAUAACUGACGCUGAGGCUCGAAAGCGUGGGGAGCAAACAGGAUUAGAUACCCUGGUAGUCCACGCCGUA